Molecule: ribosomal RNA, 362 nt
Filed under: uncultured eukaryote
Lineage: Eukaryota
Description: partial 18S ribosomal RNA
Rfam family: Eukaryotic small subunit ribosomal RNA
Source: RNAcentral
CAAUAGCAUAUAUUAACGUUGUUGCAGUUGAAAAGCUCGUAGUUGAACUUUUGGUAGGAGCGACCUGGCCUUGGGCGCAUGCCCUUGUUUGCCGUGUGUCGUAUCUGGCCAUCCUUUUCUUCUUUUUGGAAGGAAUCUUUUACUGUGAGUAAACUGGAGUGCUCAAAACAAGACGUUUGUUUGGUACAUUAAAGCAUGGAAUAAUAAGAUAGGACCUGGUUACUAUUUUGUUGGUUUGCGUAGCUAGGUAAUGAUUAACAGGGACAGUUGGGGGUAUUCGUAUUUAAUUGUCAGAGGUGAAAUUCUUGGAUUUAUGAAAGACGAACGACUGCGAAAGCAUUUACCAAGGAUGUUUUCAUUAA